CCUACGGGCGGCUGCAGUGGGGAAUCUUGCGCAAUGGGGGCAACCCUGACGCAGCCAUGCCGCGUGAACGAUGAAGGCCUUAGGGUUGUAAAGUUCUUUUACCCGUGACGAUGAUGACGGUAACGGGGGAAUAAGCUCCGGCUAACUUCGUGCCAGCAGCCGCGGUAAUACGAAGGGGGCUAGCGUUGUUCGGAAUUACUGGGCGUAAAGCGCGCGCAGGCGGUUCGAUAAGUUGGGGGUGAAAUCCCCGGGCUCAACCCGGGAAUGGCCUUCAAGACUGUCGAGCUAGAGGACGAGAGAGGUGAGUGGAAUUCCCAGUGUAGAGGUGAAAUUCGUAGAUAUUGGGAAGAACACCGGUGGCGAAGGCGGCUCACUGGCUCGUUUCUGACGCUGAGGCGCGAAAGCGUGGGGAGCAAACAGGCUUAGAUACCCCAGUAGUC
This 440-nucleotide ribosomal RNA is filed under the name uncultured Alphaproteobacteria bacterium. Its description in RNAcentral is "bacterial SSU rRNA". It matches the Rfam family "Bacterial small subunit ribosomal RNA", at positions 338 to 795 of the family's 1533-position model. The record is from RNAcentral. Lineage: Bacteria; Pseudomonadati; Pseudomonadota; Alphaproteobacteria.